RNAcentral lists this unclassified non-coding RNA (222 nucleotides) under Hevea brasiliensis (rubber tree). The record is from RNAcentral. Lineage: Eukaryota; Viridiplantae; Streptophyta; Magnoliopsida; Malpighiales; Euphorbiaceae.
GCCUAUGGAGUUUUUUUUUUCAAUCAUUGACACUUUCUAUCAUGGUGCUUUAUCCAAAUCCUUUGAACAUAAAUACAUUUAACUCACCUAUGAUUUUGUGUCAUAGAAAAAAGUUCCAUUGGCUUUAUAAUAGCUAAAAAGUUGAUCGAAUUCUUUCAGUUUCAUUUUCGAUCUGAUACUGAAAUGAAUUCUCUGUUGCUCCGCAGGUGGGUACUUCUGGAG